AGCAGCCGCGGUAAUUCCAGCUCCAAUAGCGUAUAUUAAAGUUGUUGCAGUUAAAAAGCUCGUAGUUGAAUUUCGGGGUUAGCAGGUCGGUCGUGCCAUCGGUAUGAACUGGUCUCGCUGAUCCCUCCCUCUUGACGAACUGUGAUGCCAUUAAUUUGGUGUCGCAGGGAAUCAGGACUGUUACUUUGAAAAAUUAGAGUGUUUAAAGCAGGCUCACGCUUGAAUACAUUAGCAUGGAAUAAUGAAAUAGGACGUUUGAUCCUAUUUUGUUGGCUUCUAGGAUUGACGUAAUGAUUAAUAGGGAUAGUUGGGGGCAUUAGUAUUCAAUUGUCAGAGGUGAAAUUCUUGGAUUUAUUGAAGACUAACUACCGCGAAAGCAUUUGCCAAGGAUGUUUUCAUUAAUCAAGAACGAAAGUUAGGGGAUCGAAGACGAUCAGAUACCGUCGUAGUCUUAACCAUAAACUAUGCCGACUAGGGAUCGGAUGAUGUUAAUUUUUUAAUGACUCAUUC
Molecule: ribosomal RNA, 510 nt
Filed under: uncultured Glomus
Lineage: Eukaryota; Fungi; Glomeromycota; Glomeromycetes; Glomerales; Glomeraceae
Description: SSU rRNA
Rfam family: Eukaryotic small subunit ribosomal RNA
Source: RNAcentral